Molecule: ribosomal RNA, 88 nt
Filed under: Vibrio vulnificus
Lineage: Bacteria; Pseudomonadati; Pseudomonadota; Gammaproteobacteria; Vibrionales; Vibrionaceae
Source: RNAcentral
CUGAAUCCAUUCCGAACUCAGAAGUGAAACGAAAUAGCGUCGAUGGUAGUGUGGGGUUUCCCCAUGUGAGAGUAGAACAUCGCCAGGC